GACGAACGCUGGCGGCGUGCUUAACACAUGCAAGUCGAACGGAAAGGCCCUGCUUUUGUGGGGUGCUCGAGUGGCGAACGGGUGAGUAACACGUGAGUAACCUGCCCUUGACUUUGGGAUAACUUCAGGAAACUGGGGCUAAUACCGGAUAGGAGCUCCUGCCGCAUGGUGGGGGUUGGAAAGUUUCGGCGGUUGGGGAUGGACUCGCGGCUUAUCAGCUUGUUGGUGGGGUAGUGGCUUACCAAGGCUUUGACGGGUAGCCGGCCUGAGAGGGUGACCGGCCACAUUGGGACUGAGAUACGGCCCAGACUCCUACGGGAGGCAGCAGUGGGGAAUAUUGCACAAUGGGCGGAAGCCUGAUGCAGCAACGCCGCGUGCGGGAUGACGGCCUUCGGGUUGUAAACCGCUUUCGCCUGUGACGAAGCGUGAGUGACGGUAAUGGGUAAAGAAGCACCGGCUAACUACGUA
This 468-nucleotide ribosomal RNA is filed under the name uncultured bacterium. Its description in RNAcentral is "partial 16S ribosomal RNA". It matches the Rfam family "Bacterial small subunit ribosomal RNA", at positions 28 to 507 of the family's 1533-position model. The record is from RNAcentral.